Cyprinus carpio carpio is the source of this 1060-nucleotide long non-coding RNA. NCBI's taxonomy places the organism in Eukaryota, Metazoa, Chordata, Actinopteri, Cypriniformes, Cyprinidae. The record is from Ensembl.
CACCUGAUCCAGCUAAUCAAGGUAUUUAGAAGUGCUAGAAACUUCCAGGCAGAUGUGUUUUAGCUGUAACAAUGGCCCUCCAGGAGCUGAGUAUGACACCUCUGCUCUAGAUCCAUAAUUGGAUGCUUUCCAAAUCUUCCACCUCAUAUCAGAGCAUUCUUCUACCCCAACAUGUCUGAGGCAAUACUGGAAGCUACGGGAGCUCAACCAGGUCAGAAUGGAAGUGAAGAGGAAAAAUAGAACAGUGCUCUUGACCUGCCCUCAGCCCCGCUCCCACAGAGUCUGACCUGCAUGAGAGGCUGAAGGAUCUUUUACCUAUGCUGCUUGACUAGCCAACCGAGAUCAAAAGCGCUUGAGGCUCCCCUCCCCUCCCGUCCCAGCCAGGAGCUGAUUGAAGCGAAUCAUGACCAGGUCAUGACCCCUGCAUGCCAGGCAUGGCUGAGGACAGACAAGCAGCCUUCCUAAGCAGGUUUUGCAGACUCAAACUGAAGCAACCACAUCUUUAUCAGAGCAUUUUUCCUUUCCUGGCUAUAAAUCAUGCGGUUUCCUUUUUCAUUCACCUGUUUUUCCUUUUUGUUUUAAGUUCUAUUGUGUGGCAAAUGAAAUCUCAGUCUUGAAGUCAACAUGAAACUGUAUUUGCAACUCAUUUAACUUGAGGAGUCUGAUGUUUGAAACAAGAUGCACUUCUCAGUAUGUCCACAAUAAAUUAACUUUAACAUUAACAAAGAGCAAUACAUUAGUUACAUAUUAAUCUUUGCUAACAGUAACACUACAUAUAUAUAUAUAUAUAUAUAUAUAUAUAUAUAUAUAUAUAUAUGUGUGUGUGUGUCUGUAUGUAUGUGAAUGUACAUUAACUAAGAUAAAUAAGUGCUUUAGAAGUGUUUUUCAUUAUAUUUCAUGUAAUGAAAUGAAACGUAUAGUGUUACCCCCAAAAACGACAUGUUGAAGGGAACCCAACAGGAAUCACUGUAUUUUACUGUAUUUUAAUAAAAUGUUUAAUUUUUAUUACAUUUUUUGAAUUUUGUGCUGUCUUUAGAUCCAGUCCAAAAAAGGGGGAAUU